GAUGAACGCUGGCGGCGUGCCUAAUACAUGCAAGUCGAGCGAACGGACGAGAAGCUUGCUUCUCUGAUGUUAGCGGCGGACGGGUGAGUAACACGUGGAUAACCUACCUAUAAGACUGGGAUAACUUCGGGAAACCGGAGCUAAUACCGGAUAAUAUUUUGAACCGCAUGGUUCAAAAGUAAAAGACGGUCUUGCUGUCCCUUAUAGAUGGAUCCGCGCUGCAUUAGCUAGUUGGUAAGGUAACGGCUUACCAAGGCAACGAUGCAUAGCCGACCUGAGAGGGUGAUCGGCCACACUGGAACUGAGACACGGUCCAGACUCCUACGGGAGGCAGCAGUAGGGAAUCUUCCGCAAUGGGCGAAAGCCUGACGGAGCAACGCCGCGUGAGUGAUGAAGGUCUUCGGAUCGUAAAGCUCUGUUAUUAGGGAAGAACAUAUGUGUAAGUAACUGUGCACAUCUUGACGGUACCUAAUCAGAAAGCCACGGCUAACUACGUG
Molecule: ribosomal RNA, 497 nt
Filed under: uncultured bacterium
Lineage: Bacteria
Description: partial 16S ribosomal RNA
Rfam family: Bacterial small subunit ribosomal RNA
Source: RNAcentral